This is a long non-coding RNA of Gasterosteus aculeatus aculeatus (three-spined stickleback), 1446 nucleotides long. The record is from Ensembl. NCBI's taxonomy places the organism in Eukaryota, Metazoa, Chordata, Actinopteri, Perciformes, Gasterosteidae.
UUUUCAUUGAAGUGGAAAUACUGGACUGGGCUGGCUCCACGUUCACACGCUCAAGAAUCGAGUCUGACAGGUCCACCUCGUCUCCCAACCUACGGGACUGGGCCCGUGUAAGCACACAAGCUGGGAACACAUGAGGGCGAGCCAGCCGGUACUCGAGCCUAGCCGCAGCACUUCUGGACCCAACAGAGGAACGAGGCGAAAGGUCGGCCCUAGACUCUUCACCUGAGGCCUCACUGCCCUCGUCCAUCCCCUCACAAACCCCCUGGUGAACCAACCCUUUUUUUAUCAACUCUAACAUCUCUGCCUUGAGGGCCUGCCUUGGGACGGAGAUUUUAUAAUGAUCGGCGACGGCGAAUAACUCUGACCUGCGCAUCCCUCCCAGCUGGUCAAGGGAUGGACCUGCUAGAAAAACAGCCAGUGCUGGAGCAGCCAUUCUAGUAGGUACACACGCCACCACCACUACUACAAACCAAACUAGCAACUUGUUGCUGAAAUCACCCUACAACACCACACCUUCGCACCAGCACCCACCAGGACCUUGUGCUCACAGGGAAGUCGGGAGAUUGACGAUCCCGGACGAGCCCCCACUUGUUACGUCUCCCUUAGUCUAGGUGUAAGGGAGCGCAACCCCUGCAAACAUGAGCCCUGAUGAACGCGGCGACCAGAGGUAUGGGGUCGUGGUGUGAGUGACGACUACUGGCACAGGCAAAUGGUGUAAACAAAAAUAGGAGGUUUAUUCUCUCCUUAAAAGGAAAAACAAAACAAAUGUUCAGGGGAAAAGGGGCUGGGCGAGACCAAAGCAAAGAAACAAGCAAAAAGGGUGGACACUUCCCUAACUGACCUAAUUUCCCCCCCCCCUUUACUCUACCUCGGGCACGGAUGAGGCCCGCUAACCAAAAGUACAGGGAGUGGUCCGCCCAGGUCUUGCCUAGUGUAUCUAGACAGGCAGUCAGCUACGGGUGGUGUAUACCCAUGGGUCUCUUCCCUAACAAUAUUCCCUUCCCCCCCCCUGCAACACAGGAAGAAAAAAAUGUUUAACUCAAAUAAUAAACAGUAUACAAAACAAAUAUCACAUACACACUAACCCAUAGAGCCCACGCUCUGGGACUACCUUUUAGCAACCAAACUCUCUCUCUCUCUCUCUGAACAAGAUACUCACAAACCCCAACGACGGAAAAUAAACACAGAACCAUGAGAGGACAUCAGCGAGCCACCAGAAGCGCUCUGCCAUCAGAUCUGCAGAACCCCUCUCUCCCCCCCUAAAGAUCUACAAUGACAGGUCUUUAUAGACCUGCACCAGCUGCAUCCAAUAAUGAAGGGGAGGAGUCCAGGUUGGUCGAAUCCAAUCGGCUACACCUUGGGUGAAGGGUAGCCAUCUUCCCUGCAGAUUUCCUGUACAUGGAGAGAUAAGACACAAACCAACACAAACACCCCCAAAACGUAACA